RNAcentral lists this ribosomal RNA (1375 nucleotides) under uncultured bacterium. RNAcentral's name for it is "16S ribosomal RNA". It matches the Rfam family "Bacterial small subunit ribosomal RNA". The record is from RNAcentral.
AGAGUUUGAUCCUGGCUCAGGAUGAACGCUGGCGGCGUGCCUAACACAUGCAAGUCGAGCGGAGUUGAUGAAUAGUUUACUAGGAUUCAGCUUAGCGGCGGACGGGUGAGUAACGCGUGGGUAACCUGCCCUAUGCAGGGGGAUAACACACCGAAAGGUGUGCUAAUACCGCAUAACACUAAGGAAUCGCAUGAUACCUUAGUCAAAGAUUUAUCGGCAUAGGAUGGACCCGCGUCUGAUUAGCUAGUUGGUGAGGUAACGGCUCACCAAGGCGACGAUCAGUAGCCGACCUGAGAGGGUGAUCGGCCACACUGGAACUGAGACACGGUCCAGACUCCUACGGGAGGCAGCAGUGGGGAAUAUUGCACAAUGGGGGAAACCCUGAUGCAGCAACGCCGCGUGAGCGAUGAAGGCCUUCGGGUCGUAAAGCUCUGUCCUAAGGGAAGAAUAAUGACGGUACCUUAGGAGGAAGCCCCGGCUAACUACGUGCCAGCAGCCGCGGUAAUACGUAGGGGGCAAGCGUUAUCCGGAUUCACUGGGCGUAAAGGGUGCGUAGGCGGCCGAUAAAGUCAGGGGUGAAAGGCUACGGCUCAACCGUAGUAAGCCUUUGAAACUUAUUGGCUUGAGUGCAGGAGAGGUAAGUGGAAUUCCUAGUGUAGCGGUGAAAUGCGUAGAUUUUAGGAGGAACACCAGUGGCGAAGGCGACUUACUGGACUGUAACUGACGCUGAGGCACGAAAGCGUGGGAGCGAACAGGAUAGAUACCCUGGUAGUCCCGCCGUAAACGAUGAGUGCUAGGUGUCGGAGCCGACAGGCUUCGGUGCCGCAGCUAACGCAUUAAGCACUCCGCCUGGGGAGUACGCUCGCAAGAGUGAAACUCAAAGGAAUUGACGGGGACCCGCACAAGCAGCGGAGCAUGUGGUUUAAUUCGAAGCAACGCGAAGAACCUUACCAGGACUUGACAUCCCUGUGACCGGACUUUAACAGGUCCUUUCCCUUCGGGGACACAGGAGACAGGUGGUGCAUGGUUGUCGUCAGCUCGUGUCGUGAGAUGUUGGGUUAAGUCCCGCAACGAGCGCAACCCUUGUCUUUAGUUGCCAGCAAGUAAUGUUGGGCACUCUAGAGAGACUGCCGCGGAUAACUCGGAGGAAGGUGGGGAUGACGUCAAAUCAUCAUGCCCCUUAUGUUCUGGGCUACACACGUGCUACAAUGGCUGGUACAACGGGAAGCGAAGGAGUAAUCUGGAGCAAAUCCUAAAAGCCAGUCUCAGUUCGGAUUGUGGGCUGCAACUCGCCCACAUGAAGUCGGAGUUGCUAGUAAUCGUGGAUCAGAAUGCCGCGGUGAAUGCGUUCCCGGGUCUUGUACACACCGCCCGU